This 144-nucleotide ribosomal RNA is filed under the name uncultured Lysobacter sp. RNAcentral describes it as "partial 16S ribosomal RNA". It matches the Rfam family "Bacterial small subunit ribosomal RNA", at positions 338 to 474 of the family's 1533-position model. Lineage: Bacteria; Pseudomonadati; Pseudomonadota; Gammaproteobacteria; Lysobacterales; Lysobacteraceae. The record is from RNAcentral.
CCUACGGGAGGCAGCAGUGGGGAAUAUUGGACAAUGGGCGCAAGCCUGAUCCAGCCAUGCCGCGUGUGUGAAGAAGGCCUUCGGGUUGUAAAGCACUUUUGUCCGGAAAGAAAAGCUUCGGGUUAAUACCCCGGGGUUCUGACG